UCAGGCGGCUAUAGCGGCGGGGUCCCACCUCUUCCCAUUCCGAACAGAGAAGUUAAGCCCGCCAUCGCCGAUGGUACUGCGCACUGUGGUAGAGUAGGCAGCCGCCAUUU
This 110-nucleotide ribosomal RNA is filed under the name Paludibacteraceae bacterium. Lineage: Bacteria; Pseudomonadati; Bacteroidota; Bacteroidia; Bacteroidales; Paludibacteraceae. The record is from RNAcentral.